GUUUCCGUAGGUGAACCUGCUGCUGGAUCAUUACAUGUUACCGUGAUGGUCA
Molecule: ribosomal RNA, 52 nt
Filed under: Hirschmanniella mucronata
Lineage: Eukaryota; Metazoa; Nematoda; Chromadorea; Rhabditida; Pratylenchidae
Description: partial 18S ribosomal RNA
Source: RNAcentral